This 867-nucleotide long non-coding RNA is filed under the name Danio rerio (zebrafish). RNAcentral describes it as "si:dkey-34f16.9 (ENSDARG00000096735.3)". Lineage: Eukaryota; Metazoa; Chordata; Actinopteri; Cypriniformes; Danionidae. The record is from RNAcentral.
AGUCGAGAGUACAGCUGUGAAUGAACGAUCUGUUUUUUUCUUCAGAAUGACAGAUUGAGCUUAACUUCUCCUCACAUCAGGCUUGUCAUUCCUCCGGUGGAUCCUCGUGCGACUAGAUACCUAAGAGUCUUCCACAAGAAAUGCUGGCUUACUGACUCAGCUAAUCGUAAGGAAUCCAAGCAUGGAUCUUUCGUCUCAAGAGCCAAAGCUGUUUAUUUGCCUGUGUUUACACACGCCGCGAGCCUCAGACUCCCGCCAGAAAAAGUGACCUGUCAGCAGCGCUUUGAGUCUGAGAAGGCCAGGACACAGAGGCACUGCACUAACGUCCCACUGGGCUCAAAGACAGCGUUUCCUCAGACUCAAUCUCAGCAAUCAAAACACUGACAUGGCAAACGGGAUAACAGGACAACAAGUCAGACGCUCAACACUCUUCAACAUGCCACAGAUGCUGCUAUAAGCUCAGAUCUGUUAAGCUGUCAUAGAAGUGUCCUCACCUUCAGUGUCCUGUUAUGUCUCUGAAGUUCCCUGCAGAGUGUCUCCAGCUUACUGCGGGCCAGAAUGGCACGACUGUGUUCGAACUGAAGCUGAUCUCUCUGCUUGACCAGAAGACCCUGUCUCUGCUGAAACUGCUCCAGCUGUUUCUUCUCAGUUCUGUGUUCGUCCACCUGCACAAAACAUGCACAGGUGUGAUACAUACAUCACCACAUACACCAAAAAAACAUUGCUCUUAGACUGUACAGUAUAUUACUUUAGGGAAAAUCUGGAUUUGGAAUGGGGAAAGCUAUCUGGCAUAUAUCGUGUUCUACUCAUCAGUUGAGAUGAAAAUUAGAGAACAACCUACACUGAAUAAAUAUAAAUAUCCGUAAA